RNAcentral lists this ribosomal RNA (243 nucleotides) under uncultured bacterium. RNAcentral describes it as "partial 16S ribosomal RNA". It matches the Rfam family "Bacterial small subunit ribosomal RNA", at positions 57 to 305 of the family's 1533-position model. The record is from RNAcentral.
GCAAGUCGAGCGAGAAAGUACUUCGGUACGAGUAAAGCGGCGGACGGGUGAGUAACGCGUAGGAAUCUACCUGGUAGUGGGGGACAACAUGUGGAAACGCAUGCUAAUACCGCAUACGACCUAAGGGUAAAAGUGGGGGACCUUCGGGCCUCACGCUAUCGGAUGAGCCUGCGUAAGAUUAGCUAGUUGGUGAGGUAAGAGCUCACCAAGGCGACGAUCAGUAGCCGACCUGAGAGGGUGAUC